GUGAAUCAUCGAAUCUUUGAACGCACAUUGCGCCCCUUGGUAUUCCAUGGGGCAUGCCUGUUCGAGCGUCAUCUACACCCUCAAGCUCUGCUUGGUGUUGGGCGUCUGUCCCGCCUCUGCGCGCGGACUCGCCCCAAAUUCAUUGGCAGCGGUCCUUGCCUCCUCUCGCGCAGCACAUUGCGCUUCUCGAGGUGCGCGGCCCGCGUCCACGAAGCAACAUUACCGUCUUUGACCUCGGAUCAGGUAGGGAUACCCGCUGAACUUAAGCAUAUCAAUAAGCGGAGGA
This 286-nucleotide unclassified non-coding RNA is filed under the name Paraconiothyrium sp. RNAcentral's name for it is "partial contains 5.8S ribosomal RNA, internal transcribed spacer 2, and large subunit ribosomal RNA". The stretch from base 1 to 71 matches the Rfam family "5.8S ribosomal RNA", at positions 84 to 154 of the family's 154-position model. Lineage: Eukaryota; Fungi; Ascomycota; Dothideomycetes; Pleosporales; Didymosphaeriaceae. RNAcentral also lists the same sequence under 2 other names. The record is from RNAcentral.